ACUAAGAGGAGUCCAGCAACCCCUUAAAAAAACGGGGCGUAACCGAAAAGCCACACGAGUAGGAAAUAA
This is a non-coding RNA of Arenibacter sp., 69 nucleotides long. The record is from Rfam. Lineage: Bacteria; Pseudomonadati; Bacteroidota; Flavobacteriia; Flavobacteriales; Flavobacteriaceae.